GAGGGUCUAGCUCAGCGGUACAGUGCGUGUUUAGCAGGCACGAGGUCCCGGGUUCAAUCCCCAGUACCUCCG
Molecule: transfer RNA, 72 nt
Filed under: Camelus dromedarius (Arabian camel)
Lineage: Eukaryota; Metazoa; Chordata; Mammalia; Artiodactyla; Camelidae
Also listed under: 1 other name
Rfam family: tRNA
About the family: Transfer RNA (tRNA) molecules are approximately 80 nucleotides in length. Their secondary structure includes four short double-helical elements and three loops (D, anti-codon, and T loops).
Source: Rfam by way of RNAcentral